RNAcentral lists this unclassified non-coding RNA (279 nucleotides) under Hevea brasiliensis (rubber tree). Lineage: Eukaryota; Viridiplantae; Streptophyta; Magnoliopsida; Malpighiales; Euphorbiaceae. The record is from RNAcentral.
CGUCUGUGUCCAACGCUUCUUUCAGUGGAACUUUGAGUUGAAGUACUACCCAAGUCGAGACUGGAAAGUUGCCUUCCCUUGAAAUAGGCCUUUUACCGGUGAUUAACUCUAAAAGCACCACACCAAAGGAAUAUAUAUCAGUCUUAUCACUGAACUGUUGGGUUCUGAAAAAUUCAGGGCAAAGACCAAAGCUUCCCUCUUCUAAAGAAGACGUAUGGGUAAAAUAUGAAAAUUCGUUGGCAAGUCCAAUAUCUGAAAUCUUUGGUUCAAAGUUUUGAU